UACGAAGGGGGCUAGCGUUGUCCGGAAUUACUGGGCGUAAAGCGCACGUAGGCGGCCUAUUAAGUCAGGGGUGAAAUCCCGGGGCUCAACCCCGGAACUGCCUUUGAUACUGGCAGUCUAGAGUCCGGAAGAGGUGAGUGGAAUUCCGAGUGUAGAGGUGAAAUUCGUAGAUAUUCGGAGGAACACCAGUGGCGAAGGCGGCUCACUGGUCCGGUACUGACGCUGAGGUGCGAAAGCGUGGGGAGCAAACAGG
Molecule: ribosomal RNA, 253 nt
Filed under: uncultured bacterium
Lineage: Bacteria
Description: partial 16S ribosomal RNA
Rfam family: Bacterial small subunit ribosomal RNA
Source: RNAcentral